UCAUUAUUGAAGAGUCCCACAAUAGGACGAAACGAUUGUCCAAUGC
Schistosoma haematobium is the source of this 46-nucleotide non-coding RNA. Lineage: Eukaryota; Metazoa; Platyhelminthes; Trematoda; Strigeidida; Schistosomatidae. The record is from Rfam.